Molecule: long non-coding RNA, 649 nt
Filed under: Papio anubis (olive baboon)
Lineage: Eukaryota; Metazoa; Chordata; Mammalia; Primates; Cercopithecidae
Description: lncRNA (ENSPANG00000044801.1)
Source: RNAcentral
GCCCUACCUUCAUGGAUGAAAACCUCCCAGAGAGGGAGUGUGGAAGAGCCCACCCCCUACAGCACUCAGGGUUACUCUGUAGAUGCCUUGAGCAGCCUCAUCACGCCCCAUGGGCCCAGGAGGCUGGAUCUGUUCAGAGUUCUCUUGCGCCCCAUUCCAUUUGACACCCCAGCCAAUGGCCCAAGGUUCACAACUUCUCCAGCCCUCCACGAAGAAGCUGGAGGGAGUAGGGUGCACAGGCUCUUUGAAGAUGCUGAGUGAGGUCCCAGGGCACCCACAGGAGCAGCCACCUCAGCCCAGGGACACAGAAUCUCUGCCCGGCCAGGCAGCAGGCGCUGACUCUCACGCUGUCCGGCUCAAAGAGCUGUUUUCCCCAGGUACUUGCAGCAGCAGCUGGCCUGGGACCCGCCCCCGGGCAAAGUCCGCUCCGGAGCCUGUCACUCCUGGGCGCGGGCCACCCAGCCCCUGGCGCCCUGGCGCCCUGGCGCUCAGCGCUCCCUGGGCGCGCCCUCUGGCGGCAAGAGCCCUGAACAUUCGCAAGCGGCGAAGGCUGGGGAGUGUUAUUCUGGGCACCCAUCGACCGAAUCGCUGGGCAGGGCCGCAAGGUGACUUGCUAACGCAAUUAGACCAGAAAGGAGCGCUCGUCUAA